Nomia melanderi (Alkali bee) is the source of this 4417-nucleotide long non-coding RNA. RefSeq lists it as uncharacterized. The record is from RefSeq and is a predicted model, not a curated record. Lineage: Eukaryota; Metazoa; Arthropoda; Insecta; Hymenoptera; Halictidae.
GAUAUGUAAUUGGUGCCAAUUUCUUGUCUUUUAAUCGUUCGAUGGUUUCCUUGUCUUCGCGCAAAUCUAAUUUAGUCCCUACUAAAAUGAUCGGAGUAGCUGGACAAUGAUGACGCACCUCUGGAUACCACUUAGCACGAACAUUUUCAAAACUGGCAGGGUUGACCAAAGAAAAACAAAUCAAAAAGACAUCUGUUUGAGGGUACGAUAAUGGUCUCAGUCUGUCGUAAUCUUCUUGGCCUGCCGUAUCCCAUAAACCAAGAUUGAUCGGUUUGCCAUCCACCAUAACGUUCGCAGAAUAAUUGUCAAACACAGUUGGAAUAUAUUCCCCGGGGAAGGCAUUGGUAGUGUAGCUUAUGAGAAGGCAUGUUUUACCUACGGCUCUGUAGAAAUUAUAUUCAAUUAUAGAAAAUUAAAUAGAUCGUAUAAAUCUAGAAUAGUAUAAUCUUUAACGGAAAAAGGUUAAUUACAGGUUAAACAAAAGUAAAAAGUUUUGAAUGUAUCAAAGAAAGUUGAUAAUGCUGUGAAACUUACAAGUAAACUUGAACAUGGGAGAAAGAGGGAGGGGAGAAAAGAGAUAAUGAAAGUGGAGGAAAAAGAUCGAGGAAAUGAAUUAUAUAGAAUUGAACGAGAAUUUCAAAAUAAACCAUUCGGUUUUUUCCUUAAUAUUGCAAAGUUGACGAAGAAAUUGAUAAAAAUCCAUUUAAAAGAAUAACGGGUGUGGUGCCUGUUUUGAAAUAGUGUUCUUGAUCAGGAAAAACCAAUCAUCAGAUCUCUAGAUCGUAGUGUGGAUCGAAAAUAGGAGAAGACAAACAAUUGAGAAACGUUAUAAUAAAUUUGAAAAUACUCACCCGUCGCCUACAACAACGCACUUAAUGGCUUGCAUCCUGAAGGUUGGGAACCGUUCACAAGUAGAAAUAUCCACGUAAAUUCGCAGGAAGGGGGCUAGUUCGAUUCGACAGAGCACGAAAGAUUAAGAGGGACAGAGAAGGACUUGAAGUGUCGUGAAACAAAGAGAGAGAACGCAUAGAGAAUGAGUACAAGAGAGAUAGAUAAAUGGUGUCAAACGUAAGGUAGAAGAAGAUCAUAGAACGAAAGAAAGGAUAGAUGGGAAAGAUCGAGAGGAAGGAAAUCUAAAUAACGAGAAGGAAAUUAUCCACGUGAAAAUGUAUAGUAAUUAAUUGAUCAACAUCGGUAGGAUUCAAUUCCCUCAUGGUUAUAAUCUUGGCUACAUUGAAAGGACGCACUUGUAUUUGAUGCUCCAAUACUGCUGCUGGGAAUUUUUCAAAGAAUAAUUCAUUUGCAGCCAUGUCAAGAGUUGGUAUUACUUCUUGAGGAUAAGAAACUAAUUGUUGAUAAAUAUGCCGAUCAAAAGACUUCACAUGAGCACAGUUAACAUUUAAAUAUGGUUCUUCUAAGUUCAUCAUUUUCAGCAUCUGGAUCAAUAAAUUGUUGAAAGAACAAUUUGAAUUGCUCCUUGCAUUGAUUAAUAACUACAUUUGUUCCCCAUACAACCAAAUGAGGCCCAGCUGUAUCACUUUCUGAUGUUCCUGGGACAUUUGGAACUUCCGGAAUCUAUUACAAUAAAUAAUUAUUCGUGUCAUGCGAAAUAUUUUUCUGUUCUUGUAAUGGAAACUGACGUAAACGUUUAUCUGUAUUAAUAUCAGGCCUAUGUCGAAUCGGAGUACCUCGAAUUCCACUCCUUGGUGUACGAAUCGAUCCUAAAGAACUUGGAGUACCAUAAUUUACUGGUGAUGACAAUUGCAAACCAGUUUCCGAUCCAAUAAUUUGUCCUGAGUGAUCUGUCAGACGAUCACCAGAACCAGCAGCACUAUCAUGUUCCGAGGAAGCAACAAUUGUAGCAGUUCGAUUUUCAGCAUCUGCAUUUCGUUGUGUGCCAGUGGUACCCCAUCGUAAAGGAGUUUCCACAUUAUUUUCGACUCCACUGCGAAUUGCAGCACCUAAUAUUCAAAGUACACAUCACAAAAAUUUCGAUUAAGGAAGUACAAUAGAAUCACUAUGACAAUAACCUUUAGGUAAAAUACUUACGCGGCGUGCCAAAAACAGAAGGAGAUCUAGAACCCUGAGCUUGUCUUCUAGGAGUUCUACUUGGACUAUUAUUUGUCCCUGAUGAUCUAGGACUAGACAUUAUUUCUUUCAAAAUUCCAACCUUUCUGUAGUAUUUAAAAGCAUCCACAAGUCACUUUCCCGCGUUUCUGAUCUUAUUCAAUAAUAAAGAAUGGUAUCAAACAGCAUCAAAGUUCAAAUUUAGCGACAUCUACUGUUUAUUUAUGUUAAAGAUAGACCACGGAUUUCAGAUAUGUACAGACGUACAUACAAUGUAUUUUUCCGUCUACCGUUCUGAAAUAUCGACACUGUCAAAAAUGGCCCGAUGCACAGCGGACUCUACCUGAAUCGAACGGUCGACUACUGAACUAUGUAAGACUGCAGUAUGAAAACACUGUGCGCUUGGAAGAUAAUUUCUACAGCGUUACCAACUCUAAAAAUUACGUUGUUGUCGAGCCUGGAGAGGUAGGUUUGUACAUACCCUACGAAAUUUGUCGGGGCUGACAACGAAAGGGUCCGAGCGAUUCGUUUCCUCAAUCGGCACGCCUUUUGAGAUCGUCAAAAUUCAAAUACUAUGUCCUAACCAGAAUCAAAAUAUGAAUCAUUAAUUAUUCCAUUAAAUAAUCACGUAUAGACAUACUUGUUCACUCAUUUAUAAAUAAGCAUUAUAUAUGACCGCAAUUGUCGAACAAUUAUCGAGCCAAGAAAUAAAGGGCGUGAAUUAAGGAAGAAGUUCUUGAUUAUAAAACAAAAGAAAUCAUUUUAAAAUGUUUAUGGAACGAUACUUCAUGUUAUAUUAUAUUACGCAUAAAUUUCUUAAUUUGCAGAUAAAUAAUAAAUAUAAAUGAAUCAAAAUUGCAGAUUUGCUGUUCAUUAAUAUAAUCUGUGUUAUACAAGCAUGAAAAAAAUUCGAAUGUUCAUUUAUUAAAAUUAUAUGCACAAAUUAUCUUUCGUAUAUAUUUGUUAUAAUUUUUACAUACAGUAUUCAUUAUAAUUUUCAAUAUAUUAUUUCUUGCGUGAAAGAUCUUCUGUUCAAUUAAAUACAACUUAGCCAUGCAUAUUACAAAACAGUUAUAAAUUUGAAUAAAUAGUCUUGAACUAAAAUGUAUACAAAGAAAAUUGCAAUUGCAGAUAUUCCAGAAAAUAUCCAAAAUAUAGCAGCCAUAGAUACUACGUUAUAAAAUUUAGUUACAAUGAAAGCCAAUAGCCAAUUUAAAAGACCAGCACUGCUCGCAGCUACACCUUUCACUUCAGGUGCAAAAAUUUCACCUAACAUCAUCCAAGGAAGCGGACCGAAACCGAGAGAAAACAUAAUAAUAAAUAUGCAUACAGAUAGUAGAGGUAACCAGAUAUUUCUGCUGUGUACAUUGGUGCAGCUACACAAAAGGCACCAGAUGCUGCACCAGUAAUAAAUCUUCCAACACAAAACAUAGCUACGGAAUAGGAUAAAAUGAUAAGUAGCCAACCUACAGUGAAGGGAACCACCAUUAACAACAUUGAAUUCUUUCUUCCAAUUAAAUCGAAAUUUUAAAGCCAUAUAGAUCUUGUAAAUCCUGUCCAUUAGUACCAGCCGAAGAAGUCCACCCUAACACCAUUCCCGCUGCUAAGGCUCCCAAAGUUGCAGACAAACAGGCAAUAUAUUGAGGUAAUCUUUUCGCUGGCUCAAAUUGGUUUUCAACCAAAACAUGCUGCGAAAUUCCGAGGUUUCCGUUCUUCAUGUUGUUGAAAUUAUUUCGCUGUAGAACCUGAAAGUAGUUACAUUCAAUUUAGUUGAAACCAUGACUUCCCUUGGAAAACAAAUCUUAUUUCAAGCCAAUAAUAUGGCUUCAAAGAAUAGUAAUUGUAAAAGAAAUAAUAAAAAUAAUCUGUUUUUCUUUGUUUGAAUUUAAAUUGCUUUUAAUAUUGAAACUUUAUAAACUAAAUUCCUACAUAUAUCGCAUCUGACAACAAAUACUAUGCUUUACGAAUAUUCUUUUAACUCGUUUUGUACAAUACAUAAACGUUUGUUAGUUUUGAUGAAUGAUUUAAUAUUUGGAUUUCAUUUUAUUGUUGUUAUUACGUACCGUGUUAUGUCACUUUAUUAUGAUAAGGUGAUGUAAAUGUAUCCCGUUAUAUCCCAGAGAAUAUCCGUGUCUUGGUCCGGUUAUGCUUUAAGAAAUACAAAACUUAAAGCACGAAAUGUAGUCACUAUCUUGACAAAUAUUCGUUUCUUAUCAACGAUAUGGCUGGAUACAGAUUAAUCUUGAUUUAAUCGACGUAACUGUUUAUUGCCCGGCUUUUAAUCCUUGUCAUAAAUUAGUGACCACACAAAUUGCCUCCACUUAAGCGAACUUAGCGAAUCCGAAUAAUU